UUUUGUCUGGCUUGCUUUCAGAAUUCAAUGUCUCUGAUGUAAUCUAGGAAUUAGAUCAAGUUCAAGUUAUAGCACAGCAUACAGGAUUCUUAAAAAGCAGAAGCAACUAUUGAAGAUAAAAAUGACUUCAGUGGCUCAAAUCAAGCAUUUUCAAUGAGUUAUCAUCAAUUCUAUCAGGGGAAAGUGCCGUUUGUCUUUGAUGAUAUAAUCUUUGAACUCGCAAGACUGUUGGAUCAUUUAAUGCUUAACUGUAUAUAAUGUUGGCUUGUAGCAGCUUUGUUCUCUGUAUAUUAGAAAGGCUAAGUAGAAUCCACUCUUUUUAAAGGUGAUGAAUUGCUGUAAAAUUCCCCUUGGAUUGUACAGAUUCUCGUGUAAUUUGCAUUAAGGUAACUUAUGCCAUUUCUGCCAUUGACUUCAUUAAAUACAAGUCUCCAAAUUUUUAGGGUGAUGUCCUAAACAAGAGAAUUA
Non-coding RNA from Carica papaya (papaya), 468 nucleotides. The record is from RefSeq and is a predicted model, not a curated record. Lineage: Eukaryota; Viridiplantae; Streptophyta; Magnoliopsida; Brassicales; Caricaceae.